This is a long non-coding RNA of Balaenoptera ricei (Rice's whale), 416 nucleotides long. RefSeq lists it as uncharacterized. The record is from RefSeq and is a predicted model, not a curated record. Lineage: Eukaryota; Metazoa; Chordata; Mammalia; Artiodactyla; Balaenopteridae. The transcript has 4 exons.
CCAGCGGGGGCGGGGCCUGUCAUGGCCGCCUCUGGAGUCAAUUCUAGGAACCCUGAGGAUGAACUGACCCUUUUAUUCACUAUUCCACAUCGAGCUGCAAACCCAUCAGAUGGAACCAUGUGAUCAUUGUGGCCACCAGCUGACCCCACAGCCACCUUGUGCCUCCCUUGGACCCACCCAGGAAUUUCUGAGCCUUCUUUAUGAAUCCUGGCUAUGGAAGAAAGAGGACCAUAUAUUGGACUCCAAUUCAGAGCAUAUACAACCCUCUGGAGAACCUUGCCCUGGGACAAGCAGAGGUAUUGUCACAUAGCCAGCCCUGUAACUGAGUCUUCAGAAGGCCAUUCCACCAUUCUAUCCAGCCUGCUGCUUCAGCCCCUGCCAACCACCAUUCUACUCUGUGCUUCUGUGAUUUGACG